UUGGAGGGCAAGUCUGGUGCCAGCAGCCGCGGUAAUUCCAGCUCCAAUAGCGUAUAUUAAAGUUGUUGCGGUUAAAAAGCUCGUAGUUGAAUUUCGGGAUUGACGUGACGGUCGUGCCUUACGGGGUAUGAACUGUCGCCGUUGAUUUCUCACCUUCUGGAGAAGCUCGAUGUCCUUAAUUGGGUGUCUUGCGGAACCAGGACCUUUACCUUGAAAAAAUUAGAGUGUUUAAAGCAGGCAUUAUUGCUCGAAUACAUUAGCAUGGAAUAAUAGAAUAGGACGGCAUGGUUCUAUUUUGUUGGUUUCUAGGAUCACCGUAAUGAUUAAUAGGGAUAGUUGGGGGCAUUAGUAUUCAAUUGUCAGAGGUGAAAUUCUUGGAUUUAUUGAAGACUAACUACUGCGAAAGCAUUUGCCAAGGAUGUUUUCAUUAAUCAAGAACGAAAGUUAGGGGAUCGAAGACGAUCAGAUACCGUCGUAGUCUUAACCAUAAACUAUGCCGACUAGGAAUCAGACGAUGUUAAUUUUUUAAUGACUCGUUUGGCACCUUACGGGAAACCAAAGUGUUUGGGUUC
This 572-nucleotide ribosomal RNA is filed under the name uncultured Entrophospora. RNAcentral's name for it is "SSU rRNA". It matches the Rfam family "Eukaryotic small subunit ribosomal RNA", at positions 548 to 1114 of the family's 1831-position model. The record is from RNAcentral. Lineage: Eukaryota; Fungi; Glomeromycota; Glomeromycetes; Entrophosporales; Entrophosporaceae.